AGUGAACGCUGGCGGUAGGCCUAACACAUGCAAGUCGAACGGCAGCACAGUAAGAGCUUGCUCUUACGGGUGGCGAGUGGCGGACGGGUGAGGCAUACAUCGGAAUCUACUUUUUCGUGGGGGAUAACGUAGGGAAACUUACGCUAAUACAGCAUACGACCUACGGGUGAAAGCAGGGGAUAUUCGGACCUUGCGCGAUAGAAUGAGCCGAUGUCGGAUUAGCUAGUUGGCGGGGUAAAGGCACACCAAGGCGACGAUCCGUAGCUGGUCUGAGAGGAUGAUCGGCCACACUGGAACUGAGACACGGUCCAGACUCCUACGGGAGGCAGCAGUAGGGAAUAUUGGACAAUGGGCGCAAGCCUGAUCCAGCAAUACCGCGUGAGUGAAGAAGGCCUUCGGGUUGUAAAGCCCUUUUGUUGGGAAAGAAAAGCAGCAGGUGAAUACCCCGCUGUUCUGACGGUACCCAAAGAAUAAGCACCGGCUAACUUCGUG
This 492-nucleotide ribosomal RNA is filed under the name uncultured bacterium. RNAcentral describes it as "partial 16S ribosomal RNA". It matches the Rfam family "Bacterial small subunit ribosomal RNA", at positions 29 to 507 of the family's 1533-position model. The record is from RNAcentral.